Molecule: long non-coding RNA, 1944 nt
Organism: Cervus elaphus (red deer)
Lineage: Eukaryota; Metazoa; Chordata; Mammalia; Artiodactyla; Cervidae
Exons: 2
Source: RefSeq, a predicted model, not a curated record
CUUCGCCCUGCAGGCCCCGCCCCUCCCCCGCCUCGCUGAACCCAGACACCCCUGUCCCCGGCGGUCUCUGCACGGCCGCCUCCUGGUCCUCGGGUUUCACCCUUCAGCCCAGCCGACCCCGGGGAAGAUGCCUGACCCGAGAGGGGCCCGGGGUCUCCUCCUCCGUCCACACCUGCCCCGCGGUCCUGCAGGGGACCCACCCGCCACGAUGACGGCGGGAUGCAGAUGCCCCAGGAGUCCAGGAGCGGCUCGGAAGGAAGGCCCCCAGCUGAGACGAGCCCCAGACAGGCGACAAGGCCUUCUGGGCCUGUGUGCCCCGCAGUUGCACACGGCGCUUGUCCUUCUCUCUGCUCAGCUGAGCGUCAGACCUUGCCCUCAUCAAAGCUGUGUAACCCUCCUGUGAAGCCGAAGCCCAGGGUCCCCCACUCUCCAACGGAGACCGUUCCUGAGUCGCAGAGGCCUACAGGGAAGCAGCAGUCACUGGAGGAGCCGUCUUGCUCACAGACGCACAAGAUAAACGGACCAAGCCCAGAUGCUCACAGACACAGUUCACACCGUGGCAGCUCAACGCUGAGAUGCUUCAUGUGGUCCCGGGGAAGGAAGGAGCUGGGCGGGGCCGCUCCCUGUGGGGUGGACACUGCCUCUGAAACGCUCCCUGCAAGACAGGCUGAGCAAACUCAGUCUUCACCUUUUGCACUUUUUUCUUGGUAAAAGCACAAAUCCUUGUUGAAUUUCUUUUGGUUACCAAAAACAGGUGCUGAAGUGGAUCGGUCUUGGGGGAGACCAGUAUUUAAUUGUCCCCAUUUCACAGAUAGGUAAGCUGAGGUACAAAGUACUCAGGCCUAAGAACUCGCCGAGUUUUCUGGAAGCAGAGGCCUCUGGCGGUCCACGGCUCUCCAGGGCACCAGGGGCUCCCGGCCGGCCCCGCCUCCAUCCUCUCAGCCCUCUCCUGACUGCCCACCUGCGCCUGCUGGUCACCGGCCUCAGCUGUGCACUCUGGCCACCACCGCGACACCGGGAAAGAAACUUCAGAAGCCCAGAGCGGGCUCAACAACUCACCUUGUUUGGGGAGUGGACGUUAACUCUUCCCAGGACAAACUCCGGGGGCGUCUGCUGCUCUCUGUGGCAGAGAGGCUGUGUGAUCUGGGGCACCCUUCGCUUUGCUCCUGAAAGUCUUUCAGACCGGGAGCAGAGGAACUCGGGACAGGUGACUAAGACACCAGCAGAAGACCAGCGUGGCUCUGGUUCCAGGCCUUUAGCUUCUAUUUUUCUGCGUUACAGUGUUCCUUCAGCGGUUCUCCCUGGCACGAGCACCAACACAGCAGCACGAAGCAGGACGCCAGGACGGACCAGGAAAUGGCAGGCAGGAUGAUGGAGAAGGGCGGACCUUACUUGAGUGCUUCUCAGUAAUCUAAUACUAGGCCCUCGGGGACCGGGCGAGCCUGGCUCUCCCCAAGGCCUGAGGUGGGGGUGCGGCUUCCGGCCAGCCUUCUCGAAGCCUCACCUGGGGCAUUUCAGAUGCCAGGAGUCACUGUCUGGUAUACCAGAUUCUGAACCAUAGCCUGUUACUGCCCUGUCUCAACUGUUGACAUUUAAACAACGUGAUAAACUGACGUUUAGAAGCUGUGGCUUUACUAGGGCAGAACAGAACCAAUCACAAUGAUUUGGGGUAUGACUCCAACACAAACUUGGGAAAAAAAUUUAAUGCAAAUAUUUAGCCAUUGGAACAUACAAAUAAAUAAAUAAGCUCAGAAUAGCCGAGGAAGAAAAUCCAAGUUAAGAGUAACUGCCCAUUUCUCUUCAGUCCCAGAUAUUCCAUUUCCAAAAUACUGCUAAUAUACAAAUAAUUAAUAAGUAAAGAAGAUAUAGACCAUCCAACAUAAAACGACCUAAAAUAAAAAAAUAAAACCAAGGACAAACCCUAAUUAUUUUAUUUCUGUAUAU